Molecule: ribosomal RNA, 388 nt
Filed under: uncultured bacterium
Lineage: Bacteria
Description: bacterial SSU rRNA
Rfam family: Bacterial small subunit ribosomal RNA
Source: RNAcentral
AUUGAACGCUGGCGGCAUGCUUUACACAUGCAAGUCGAACGGUAACAGGCCGCAAGGUGCUGACGAGUGGCGAACGGGUGAGUAAUGCAUCGGAACGUGCCCAGUCGUGGGGGAUAACGCAGCGAAAGCUGUGCUAAUACCGCAUACGAUCUACGGAUGAAAGCGGGGGACUCAGCAAUGAGCCUCGCGCGAUUGGAGCGGCCGAUGUCAGAUUAGGUAGUUGGUGGGAUAAAAGCUCACCAAGCCAACGAUCUGUAGCUGGUCUGAGAGGACGACCAGCCACACUGGGACUGAGACACGGCCCAGACUCCUACGGGAGGCAGCAGUGGGGAAUUUUGGACAAUGGGCGCAAGCCUGAUCCAGCAAUGCCGCGUGCAGGAAGAAGGCC